AUUGAACGCUGGCGGCAUGCUUUACACAUGCAAGUCGAGCGGCAGCGCGGGGGCAACCCUGGCGGCGAGCGGCGAACGGGUGAGUAAUGCAUCGGAACGUAUCCUCGAGUGGGGGAUAACCCAGCGAAAGUUGGGCUAAUACCGCAUGAGCUCUGAGGAGGAAAGCGGGGGACCUGCGAGGGCCUCGCGCUGGAGGAGCGGCCGAUGUCCGAUUAGCUAGUUGGUGGGGUAAAGGCUUACCAAGGCGACGAUCGGUAGCUGGUCUGAGAGGAUGAUCAGCCACACUGGGACUGAGACACGGCCCAGACUCCUACGGGAGGCAGCAGUGGGGAAUGUUGGACAAUGGGGGCAACCCUGAUCCAGCCAUGCCGCGUGAGUGAAGAAGGCCUUCGGGUUGUAAAGCUCUUUCGGACGGAACGAAAUGGGCGGGACUAAUACUCCUGUCUGAUGACGGUACCGUAAGAAGAAGCACCGGCUAACUACGUG
Molecule: ribosomal RNA, 486 nt
Filed under: uncultured bacterium
Lineage: Bacteria
Description: partial 16S ribosomal RNA
Rfam family: Bacterial small subunit ribosomal RNA
Source: RNAcentral